UACGAAGGGGGCUAGCGUUGCUCGGAAUCACUGGGCGUAAAGCGCACGUAGGCGGAUUGCUAAGUCAGGGGUGAAAUCCUGGAGCUCAACUCCAGAACUGCCCUUGAUACUGGCGGUCUCGAGUCCGGGAGAGGUGAGUGGAACUGCGAGUGUAGAGGUGAAAUUCGUAGAUAUUCGCAAGAACACCAGUGGCGAAGGCGGCUUACUGGUCCGGAUCUGACGCUGAGGCGCGAAAGCGUGGGGAGCAAACAGG
Molecule: ribosomal RNA, 253 nt
Filed under: uncultured bacterium
Lineage: Bacteria
Description: partial 16S ribosomal RNA
Rfam family: Bacterial small subunit ribosomal RNA
Source: RNAcentral